GUCUAUAGUCAUGCCACCCUGAACAAGCCCGAUCUGGUCUGAUCUCAGUAGCUAAGCAGGGUCAGGCCUGGUUAGUACUUGAAUGGGAGACCACCUAGGAAGAUCAGGUGCUGUAGGCA
Molecule: ribosomal RNA, 119 nt
Filed under: Pteropus alecto (black flying fox)
Lineage: Eukaryota; Metazoa; Chordata; Mammalia; Chiroptera; Pteropodidae
Source: RNAcentral